AUUCUUAUGCACGGGAAAUACGCAUAUCAGUGAGGAUUCGUCCGAGAUUGUGUUAUUGCUGGUUGAAAUUUUAACCAUGACCCGCUCCUCAUAGUUUAAGGGCACUAUUGCCUGUUAACUAUGUAGGGAAUUUUUGGAAU
Molecule: small nuclear RNA, 140 nt
Organism: Eremothecium sinecaudum
Lineage: Eukaryota; Fungi; Ascomycota; Saccharomycetes; Saccharomycetales; Saccharomycetaceae
Source: RefSeq, a predicted model, not a curated record